Long non-coding RNA from Bombus terrestris (buff-tailed bumblebee), 514 nucleotides. RefSeq lists it as uncharacterized. NCBI's taxonomy places the organism in Eukaryota, Metazoa, Arthropoda, Insecta, Hymenoptera, Apidae. The record is from RefSeq and is a predicted model, not a curated record. The transcript has 2 exons.
ACUUUCUUUUUUUCUUGUGGAAUAGCAUUUUUUAACACAGGUUUCUUAAUAGAUUUCGCAAAACCGAAGGAAAUCUUCUUCCCUUCUUCUGCCAUUUAUUUGUUAUUUUAACACUGACUUAUAGAUCAAUAGACAUGUAUAUACUAGACAUAAAGAUUGAUGUCACUUGAAACUAUGUACAUGAAUCUAAUAUCUUAUUAUACUUUAUUAAUCUACUCAAAAUUACUUGCACAUUACUAAAAUUUCAUUCCGACAAUAUAUCAAGCGCCUGAAUAAGUGACAUUAAAGUAAACAUAUAUCAGAGAGGAAAUAAGAAGAACUGACGCCUAUGGUCUUCUAUGUUACAGAGCUAGUGCUACACCAUACGGCCAAAUGCCGAAAAUGGCUAGGAUAUCCCAGAGAGAGUAGUGCUGCACCAUGCAGCCAAAUGCUAAUAGACGAAUAUGCGGCUGCUUCUGUUCCAAAUAUCUCCGUUACUGUGCCUGUUGACGGAAAUCGGCGCGGCUGGGAUCGG